UUGGUGAAAAAAAUGGGUGUGAAUCAUUUUUCAUGAGAAGCUUCCAUUGCAAAAAGUGCUUUUUUUAGGAACUCAGCAUCUUUAUAAGUGAAAUGCCAGAAAUCUCACAAGCUGAAGCUGAAAUGUGCUGGUUGCAACAUUAGGUGCUAACAGUUGGCAAAGCUUGAGUCCCAGUGGCUAAAGCACCAGAGAAAAUGGCAGACAGCUCCUUGGCUUUUAAAUUUGGGCUGUCUCACUUGUGUGACAGGAGGAGAGAGGGUAGGGCUGGGCUCAGGCUGGCUGGCUGUGAUUGACACAAUUCAGGGACAGGUUUUUAUGGCUCUCAUCCUGGUGAUGUUCUGAUUGCCUCCCCAGCACUAAUGAAGACAUCCCCUAAUGGGCCUGCCAGACUAAUGCAUCGUGACACCUCGAUAACAUGAUGAGUGCAUGGCUCCUCCUGCCCUCUCUCUUCUAGGUGAAAGCCUGUGAACAAAUCAAGGGAAUGCUCACCUGCUGCCAGGGCUGGAUCUGCCCCAUUUCUACAGCAGCAGCAGCAGCCACGCCCGGGGUCCCCAGCUGUCCCCUGCACCGGCAGCAGGGAGGACACAGGGCACCCGUCCCCACGCUGCUGUCAGACCUCCCAGUGACAUCUCUGAAGGGACAACACUUCUAUUUGUGCUCCUGGGUACCUGCUGUCCCUAACAGUUUUAAAAAAUAAUAAGAAGCGGGAAAUUGCAAAGCCAGUGGACCGAAACACCGUGGUGUGCAGGCAGAAGCCGCUGUGUCCAUGCUACUGCCACGGAUGCUGCGGGAGAGAGCAGGAGAAUGCGACCCACAGCUCCAGUGAGAGUAAUGAAAUGUUUUGUGACUGAGGCUGCCUGGCCCCGCAUCUGCAAUAAUCAAAUCCUGGGCUCAUUUUGCAAACUGCAGCUACUGAGAAUGGGAGAGAGCAGCAUACUGAGAGCAGCAUCACUCUGGCGGCGUUGUGGAACUCGGAUGCUGCCAACAGAAACCUGCAGGAGGAGGACAAACACACUGGGCUCCCAAAGCACUGUGUUUUGAUGGACUUGCUCUUCCAUUUGUGAGACAAUAGACUGAGGAGCCAGUGGCACUUCUGCUGCAUGGACCUGGUGACAAUGCUCUGUCUGCUGCCAGCAUCACCAGGCGCAUACGUGCCCAUGUCAUCCUGGUGCAGGUGAUGGCUGUCACCCUGCAGAUCCAUGGCUGUGUCCAUCCCAGGCUUGGCCCAGGACCAGCCUGCAACGAGACUGGCAGACAUUGAACCCUCCUCUCGGUAACCACACGGCUCAAAGCUUCCAUGGGUGACAUCAUCCAUCGCCAGGUCUGGGCCUAGUCAC
Long non-coding RNA from Corvus hawaiiensis (hawaiian crow), 1337 nucleotides. RefSeq lists it as uncharacterized. NCBI's taxonomy places the organism in Eukaryota, Metazoa, Chordata, Aves, Passeriformes, Corvidae. The transcript is spliced from 4 exons. The record is from RefSeq and is a predicted model, not a curated record.